Molecule: ribosomal RNA, 259 nt
Filed under: uncultured Staphylococcus sp.
Lineage: Bacteria; Bacillati; Bacillota; Bacilli; Caryophanales; Staphylococcaceae
Description: partial 16S ribosomal RNA
Rfam family: Bacterial small subunit ribosomal RNA
Source: RNAcentral
CGGGUGAGUAACACGUGGAUAACCUACCUAUAAGACUGGGAUAACUUCGGGAAGCCGGAGCUAAUACCGGAUAAUAUAUUGAACCGCAUGGUUCAAUAGUGAAAGACGGUUUUGCUGUCACUUAUAGAUGGAUCCGCGCCGCAUUAGCUAGUUGGUAAGGUAACGGCUUACCAAGGCAACGAUGCGUAGCCGACCUGAGAGGGUGAUCGGCCACACUGGAACUGAGACACGGUCCAGACUCCUACGGGAGGCAGCAGUC